GAUGAACGCUGGCGGCGUGCCCAAUACAUGCAAGUCGAGCGAGCGGAACUAACAGAUUUACUUCGGUAAUGACGUUAGGAAAGCGAGCGGCGGAUGGGUGAGUAACACGCGGGGAACCUGCCCCAUAGUCUGGGAUACCACUUGGAAACAGGUGCUAAUACCGGAUAAGAAAGCAGAUCGCAUGAUCAGCUUUUAAAAGGCGGCGUAAGCUGUCGCUAUGGGAUGGCCCCGCGGUGCAUUAGCUAGUUGGUAAGGUAAAGGCUUACCAAGGCGAUGAUGCAUAGCCGAGUUGAGAGACUGAUCGGCCACAUUGGGACUGAGACACGGCCCAAACUCCUACGGGAGGCAGCAGUAGGGAAUCUUCCACAAUGGACGCAAGUCUGAUGGAGCAACGCCGCGUGAGUGAAGAAGGUUUUCGGAUCGUAAAGCUCUGUUGUUGGUGAAGAAGGAUAGAGGUAGUAACUGGCCUUUAUUUGACGGUAAUCAACCAGAAAGUCACGGCUAACUACGUGCCAGCAGCCGCGGUAAUACGUAGGUGGCAAGCGUUGUCCGGAUUUAUUGGGCGUAAAGCGAGCGCAGGCGGAAGAAUAAGUCUGAUGUGAAAGCCCUCGGCUUAACCGAGGAACUGCAUCGGAAACUGUUUUUCUUGAGUGCAGAAGAGGAGAGUGGAACUCCAUGUGUAGCGGUGGAAUGCGUAGAUAUAUGGAAGAACACCAGUGGCGAAGGCGGCUCUCUGGUCUGCAACUGACGCUGAGGCUCGAAAGCAUGGGUAGCGAACAGG
RNAcentral lists this ribosomal RNA (781 nucleotides) under uncultured Lactobacillus sp. RNAcentral's name for it is "bacterial SSU rRNA". It matches the Rfam family "Bacterial small subunit ribosomal RNA", at positions 28 to 776 of the family's 1533-position model. Lineage: Bacteria; Bacillati; Bacillota; Bacilli; Lactobacillales; Lactobacillaceae. The record is from RNAcentral.